RNAcentral lists this ribosomal RNA (2049 nucleotides) under Triticum aestivum (bread wheat). RNAcentral describes it as "partial small subunit ribosomal RNA". The record is from RNAcentral. Lineage: Eukaryota; Viridiplantae; Streptophyta; Magnoliopsida; Poales; Poaceae.
AUGAAACUCUGGGAGAAUUCAGACAUCACGAAGAUUUUGGUUUGUCAAGGAUCUUUGAAGGAGAACAAACACAAAUUACAAAAGUGCUAUUGGAACACAUGGGUACAUGCGAACUGGAAGAAAAGGCUACAAACAACAUCAAUUUACACAUUGCAGCAACAUUCUGAACAAGUAAAGAGAUGCAUCGAAAUAGCUUUAAGCUGUGUGGACGCCGAUCGACACAAAAGGCCAAGUAUAGGGGCAAUCAUUAAUAUGCUGAAUGAGACGGAAGGGAACAAACCAGGGAGCGUACAGAUGGUGAUCAAGAACAACAAAAUGGCCCCAUUGUUGGAGCAUAAGAAAAAGGUGAUGUUGCAGCUCGCCUGCAGUGACUACACCGGUGACUGGCCGGGUCUCGAUCUGGUGGCCGUCCUAGACAUCAGCUUCGGAAUGUUCAGCCCGAAGAUGGAGAAGGUCCAGACCGCCUUGCGGUUUAUCAUGCGGAAGCUCAGCCCCAUCGACCGCAUCUCCAUCAUCACAUUCUCAGGUUUUGUCAGAGAGUUAUGUUCACUUAGGCAGAUGACUGCAGCCUCGCAGCUGGACCUAGACGAGCUCAUUGAAAGUCUUGGCGACACCCAUGUCCAUGUAUACAGUGAAUCCAACAUUGAGAAUGCCCUCUUAGUCGGGGUCAAGGUCCUCGCCGAGCGCAAAGUCAGCAGCGGCCGCGUCGUAGCCAUCAUGCUCAUGUCCGCAUCCCCGUCGUCCUGGGUGGGCGAAUGCAGCUGGACUAACGUGCCUGUCUACACGUUUGGUUACGGCACAAACGUGAGCCCACGGGUGCUCAAUUCGAUCGCAAUUGCAAGCAUUGGGGGUAUGUUCUCCCACGUCCAGGACACUGACAGUGGCGACCUGACCAUUGCCUUCUCCCAGUGCCUCGCUGGCCUCCUUACCAUCUCAGUUCAGGACCUCGAGCUGAUGGUGGCAGCCGUCGGAGGCGGGUCAGUGAUAGUGAACGUGACCGCCGGGAGCUACAGGCGGAAGCAUGAUGCGUCUGGCCUGGUGACCAUAAGCUUUGGUGACCUCUACAGAAGGGAAGUGCGCAACGUCAUUGUUGAGCUUCACCUCCCAGCAACAGUGAGCGAGCGUGAUGCUGAUAUCCUCAAGGUCUCAUACUCAUACACCAGCAGCUCUUCAGCUGGAAGCCUGCAGUUUGUUGCCCCUCCUGAGACGCUGACCGUGUGGCGCGCCAACAUGGAUGAGUUGCCGUUGCCGAUGGAGCUACAUAUGGAGGAAGUCCGCCUGUUGAUGGCGAGAACCAUGAUGUGGCCCGUUGUGGAGGACGAGUUAAAGUCUCAGAACAUGUUAAAGGCGAUCCAGAGCAUGCUGGAGGACGUGGAGUUGGGCGAUCCACUGCUCAGAAUCGAGAUGCUUGAGCUCAUGGAGCUCUGUAAGACCGAAGAAACCUGCAUGGAGCACUGCCGCGCCUAUGCCUAUGCGUACUCGUCAGAGUCUUCUCACUACCGGCAGCGUUUCACGAUGAGGGGUCGCAACAUGGAGAUGCUGCGUCUCUUUGCAACACCACGCAUGGACAUGUACCUGGAGCAGGCUAAGAAGUUCCACGACGACCCGACGACACCGCUGCCAUCGGCGGACGACGACCUCGAGGAGGAGAUCGGUGCUCAUCCCAUCCAUGUUGCCAGCAGGGAAGAGGAGAUAAAGAGACUGAGCUUGGACGUGGAGGACCCGACGACAAUGGAUGCGGAGGACCCGACGAUACCACUGUCGUCUCAUUCGAGGGAGGCUUCUUCUAGGAGAAACGCCAAUUUUUUUAAUAUGUUCACAAGGCGACCAUUUUUUAGCAAAUCUGACGAGCUGGAUCGACACGUGCGUAGCUCACAUGCAUGGAUGAGUCGGAAAGGGGACCGCCUGUCAGCAAUCUUUUUGUUUACCUUUCUCCUUCUUCCUCUGUCCUGUUCAAUGAAUCGCCUCGCCCAGGGGAUACCACGAAAGCAUCCACACCGGCGUGCAGAUCCAGCGGACCAUGUCCACCUCAGCAUGGUGUCUGCGUGA